UAUUAAAUCCAGUUGAUCCUGCUGGCGGCUGCGGCUCUCUGGUUUGCGUUUAGACAUGCAAGUUUUUUUCUUUGGUUCUUCGGAAUUAGGGAAAAGGCGAACUGCUCAGUAACACGUAGCUAACCUACCCUUAAGUCAAGAAUAACCUCGGGAAACUGAGGAUAAUACUUGAUAGGAGAUAUACCCUGGAAAGAUUUAUCUCCCAAACUCGUGCUUAAGGAUGGGGCUGCGGCGGAUUAGGUUGUUGGCGGGGUAACGGCCCACCAAGCCGAUGAUCCGUAAGGGCUCUUAGCGGAGAGGCCCUGAGAGGGAAUCUGAGACACUAUUCCCAGCCCUACGGGGUGCAGCAGUUAGGAAUAUUUUGCAAUGCGCGUAAGCGUGACAAAUUGAACCAGAGUGAUUCUCAUUGAGAAUCUUUUAUGAAAUGUAAAAAGUUUCACGAAUAAGGACUGGGUAAGACUAGUGCCAGCCGCCGCGGUAAUACUAGCGGUCCAAGUCGCAGCCAUUUUUAUUGGGUCUAAAACAUCCGUAGCUUGCUUUUUA
Molecule: ribosomal RNA, 543 nt
Filed under: Pseudorhodobacter sp.
Lineage: Bacteria; Pseudomonadati; Pseudomonadota; Alphaproteobacteria; Rhodobacterales; Paracoccaceae
Description: bacterial SSU rRNA
Rfam family: Archaeal small subunit ribosomal RNA
Source: RNAcentral